This 301-nucleotide ribosomal RNA is filed under the name uncultured bacterium. Its description in RNAcentral is "partial 16S ribosomal RNA". It matches the Rfam family "Bacterial small subunit ribosomal RNA", at positions 509 to 807 of the family's 1533-position model. The record is from RNAcentral.
CAGUAGCCGCGGUAAUACCGAGGGUGCGAGCGUUAAUCGGAUUUACUGGGCGUAAAGCGUGCGUAGGCGGCUUUUUAAGUCGGAUGUGAAAUCCCUGAGCUUAACUUAGGAAUUGCAUUCGAUACUGGGAAGCUAGAGUAUGGGAGAGGAUGGUAGAAUUCCAGGUGUAGCGGUGAAAUGCGUAGAGAUCUGGAGGAAUACCGAUGGCGAAGGCAGCCAUCUGGCCUAAUACUGACGCUGAGGUACGAAAGCAUGGGGAGCAAACAGGAUUAGAGACCCCAGUAGUCCCUGUCUCUUAUAC